GACGCAACCGCCACUGUACUCUACCAGUGGCGGUGAACAGGAACCGUCAUAGUUCUUUUCCGGUUUUUAAUUUUUUUUUAUAUUAGAACAUUCCUGUAACAGCAAUAUAUCACAGCACAGCAAUAGAUAACAUCAUGAUAGAUAACAGCAAUAUAUAUGAGAAAAUCACACAUCCAUGAUAGAUAACAGCAUCUGUUCACAAAACUUAUUACAAAAACACAAAUAUUCAAUAUUUAACAUUGUACAUCAAAGUUUCAAUACAUUGGCACAACCCCGCCUUCAUAAAAAUCACCGUUUUCCUUCAGGACCUCUUUGUUGAGAAUGGUGUCUAUCUCCCUCUGAAUAUCGAACACAAGAACUGUUAGAAUAAUCUUGUUAUAUGAGUCCGUUUAGGACUGGUCCGUCCUGAGUUCGAGUAGUAGCACUAGUACGAGUCUAAUUAGCUUUGCACAUUAAGUCCUAGUCCUAUUAGGAUUAGGUGAUUUUGGGUGUACAUAUAGAUGCACCAGGUCAGCUUUUGUAACAUGGGAUUUGAGAUAUUGAGAAGAAAUAAAAAG
Molecule: long non-coding RNA, 557 nt
Filed under: Brachypodium distachyon (stiff brome)
Lineage: Eukaryota; Viridiplantae; Streptophyta; Magnoliopsida; Poales; Poaceae
Description: long non-coding RNA (BDIS_LNC003100)
Source: RNAcentral